UCUUCCGUAGUAUAGUGGUCAGUAUGUGAGCUUGUCAUUGUCAUCCUUGACAAUAAACACGCUCGAGACCCGGGUUCAAUUCCCGGCGGGAGAG
Triangularia setosa is the source of this 94-nucleotide non-coding RNA. The record is from the annotation of a GenBank genome assembly. NCBI's taxonomy places the organism in Eukaryota, Fungi, Ascomycota, Sordariomycetes, Sordariales, Podosporaceae.